CUGGAGGUUCUGGUUCUGCUCUGACUCUCCUCCACAGCUGGAGGUUCUGGUUCUCUCUGACUCUCCUCCACAGCUGGAGGUUCUGGUUCUGCUCUGACUCUCCAUCACAGCUGGAGGUUCUGGUUCUGCUCUGACUCUCUUCCACAGCUGGAGGUUCUGGUUUGCUUGACUCUCCUCCACAGAUGGAGGUCUGGUUCUGCUCUGACUCUCCCUCCACAGCUGGAGGUUCUGGUUCUGCUCUGACUCUCAUCACAGCUGGAGGUUCUGGUUCUGCUGACUCUCCUCCACAGCUGGAGGUUCUGGUUCUGCUCUGACUCUCCUCCACAGCUGGAGGUUCUGGUUCUCCCUGACUCUCCUCCACAGCUGGAGGUUCUGGUUCUGCUCUGACUCUCCUCCACAGCUGGAGGUUCUGGUUCUCUCUGACUCUCCUCCACAGCUGGAGGUUCUGUUCUGCUCUGACUCUCCAGCACAGCUGGAGGUUCUGGUUCUGACUCUGACUCUCCUCCACAGCUGGAGGUUCUGGUUCUGCUCUGACUCUCUUCACAGCUGGAGGUUCUGGUUCUCUCUGACUCUCCUCCACAGCUGGAGGUUCUGGUUCUGCUCUGACUCUCCAUCACAGCUGGAGGUUCUGGUUCUGCUCUGACUCUCCUCCACAGCUGGAGGUUCUGGUUCUCUCUGACUCUCCUCCACAGCUGGAGGUUCUGGUUCUGCUCUGACUCUCCAUCACAGCUGGAGGUUCUGGUUCUCUCUGACUCUCCUCCACAGCUGGAGGUUCUGGUUGUCUCUGACUCUCCUCCACAGCUGGAGGUUCUGGUUCUCUCUGACUCUCCUCCACAGCUGGAGGUUCUGGUUCUGCCUGACUCUCCUCCACAGCUGGAGGUUCUGGUUCUCUCUGACUCUCCUCCACAGCUGGAGGUUCUGGUUCUCCCUGACUCUCCUCCACAGCUGGAGGUUCUGGUUCUCUCUGACUCUCCUCCACAGCUGGAGGUUCUGGUUCUCCCUGACUCUCCUCCACAGCUGGAGGUUCUGGUUCUGCUCUGACUCUCCUCCACAGCUGGAGGUUCUGGUUCUGCUCUGACUCUUCCACAGCUGGAGGUUCUGGUUCUCUGACUCUCCUCCACAGCUGGAGGUUUGGUUCUGCUCUGACUCUCCUCCACAGCUGGAGGUUCUGGUUCUCCCUGACUCUCCUCCACAGCUGGAGGUUCUGGUUCUCUCUCUGACUCUCCUCCACAGCUGGAGGUUCUGGUUCUCCCUGACUCUCCUCCACAGCUGGAGGUUCUGGUUGUCUCUGACUCUCCUCCACAGCUGGAGGUUCUGGUUCUCCCUGACUCUCCAUCACAGCUGGAGGUUCUGGUUCUGCUCUGACUCUCCUCCACAGCUGGAGGUUCUGGUUGUCUCUGACUCUCCUCCACAGCUGGAGGUUCUGGUUCUGCUCUGACUCUCCUCCACAGCUGGAGGUUCUGGUUCUCCCUGACUCUCCUCCACAGCUGGAGGUUCUGGUUGUCUCUGACUCUCCUCCACAGCUGGAGGUUCUGGUUCUCCCUGACUCUCCAUCACAGCUGGAGGUUCUGGUUCUGCUCUGACUCUCCUCCACAGCUGGAGGUUCUGGUUGUCUCUGACUCUCCUCCACAGCUGGAGGUUCUGGUUCUGCUCUGACUCUCCUCCACAGCUGGAGGUUCUGGUUCUCCCUGACUCUCCUCCACAGCUGGAGGUUCUGGUUCUCCCUGACUCUCCUCCACAGCUGGAGGUUCUGGUUCUGUUCAUGAUGCGGGUUUAGCAUUUUCACGUUGUUUGACUUGAAAAGACACAGACGUGUGUAAUCACACGUUAAACCACUUUGUGUGUAACAUGGACGCACAAACACACAACCAGCUGUUCAUCACCACAGUGAGCAGCUUGAAGGACAUGUGAUCAAAUGUUGUGUUAUAUAUAAAGACAUGUCUGUUUACCUGAGAGAACAGAGAGGAGAACCAGAACCAGAACCAGAACCAGGUGAGACGAACAGCUGAUCUCACUGGUUAGAAUACCAAUUAUACACAUUUUAUAUUCUGAACCUUCAAAGUCACCAAUAUUAACUAUUCUCUGGAAAGUAGCAGAAAAUAUAAAUACUCAACUGAAGUACAAGUAUCUCAGAAUGUGUAUCUAAACACAGUACUUGAGUAAAAGUACUCAGUUACUCUCCAGCAGAGCUGUGAUCAGCUGAUGUGGUCUGCAGAGUCCAGCUGACCUUCCUUUGUGUUCGUCCUCUGAUAUUAAAUGUGUCGUCUCACCGCUGCAGAUUAAUGACAGUGAUCAUCAACACACACACACACACACACACACACACACACUCACACACACUCACACACACACACGCAGGUGAAGACGUACCUGUGUAGAUGAGCUGCUGUGCUGUGUGUGUGGUGGACUCGGUGUGUUCGCUGCAGACCUCCUCCUCCUGCUGCUGCUGCUGUCCUAUAUUUCCUCCUCAGCCUCGCUCGUCUCUCAGUGUGAUGCAGAGCGACGUCACCACACACACACACACACACACACACACACACACACACACACACACACACACACAGGCCAUGACUUGAAUACACGAUGAGGCUCUGUGACGUGGUUUAUUAACUGUUUCCUGACGUGAGGAACAUGAAGAAUAUCUGCAGCUUCCAUUAAUCUCAUUUAGUCAAUUUUAGUUUUGUCUGUAAAACAUCAAACAUGGAUCAGUGCAGAUAAACAGCUUUCAGGUUUAAUGAGGUAAAUAAAUACAUUAUUAUAUGAAUUAAUUAGACUGUCUUCAUGUGCACUGACAUCAACAACACUCACAUCCAGUACAGGUACAAAACAUUACUGC
RNAcentral lists this long non-coding RNA (2836 nucleotides) under Sparus aurata (gilthead seabream). RNAcentral's name for it is "lncRNA (ENSSAUG00010017784.1)". The record is from RNAcentral. Lineage: Eukaryota; Metazoa; Chordata; Actinopteri; Spariformes; Sparidae.